GGUUGACCUCGGAUCAGGUAGGGAUACCCGCUGAACUUAAGCAUAUCAAUAAGCGGAGGAAAAGAAACCAACAGGGAUUGCCUCAGUAACGGCGAGUGAAGCGGCAACAGCUCAAAUUUGAAAUCUGGCCCCCCCGGGGCCCGAGUUGUAAUUUGUAGAGGAUGCUUCGGGUGCGGCGCCGGUCUAAGUUCCUUGGAACAGGACGUCAUAGAGGGUGAGAAUCCCGUUCAUGACCGACGACCUAGCCCGUGUGAAGCUCCUUCGACGAGUCGAGUUGUUUGGGAAUGCAGCUCUAAAUGGGUGGUAAAUUCAUCUAAAGCUAA
This is a ribosomal RNA of 323 nucleotides. It matches the Rfam family "Eukaryotic large subunit ribosomal RNA", at positions 1 to 319 of the family's 3401-position model.